RNAcentral lists this ribosomal RNA (380 nucleotides) under uncultured eukaryote. RNAcentral's name for it is "partial 18S ribosomal RNA". It matches the Rfam family "Eukaryotic small subunit ribosomal RNA", at positions 592 to 976 of the family's 1831-position model. The record is from RNAcentral.
CAAUAGCGUAUAUUAAAGUUGUUGCGGUUAAAAAGCUCGUAGUUGGAUUUCUGCUGAGGACGAUCGGUCCGCCCACUGGGUGAGUAUCUGGCUCGGCCUUGGCAUCUUCUUGGAGAACGUUGCUGCACUUGACUGUGUGGUGCGGUAUCUACGACUUUUACUUUGAGGAAAUUAGAGUGUUCACGGCAGGCAAUCGCCUUGAAUAUAUUAGCAUGGAAUAAUAACAUAGGAUCUUUGUCCUAUUUUGUUGGUUUCUAGGGCUGAGAUAAUGAUUAAUAGGGAUAAUUGGGGGCAUCUGUAUCAACGCGUCAGAGGUGGAAUUCUUGGAUUGCGUUGCGACAAACUACUGCGAAAGCAUUUGCCAAGGAUGUUUUCAUUGA